Molecule: ribosomal RNA, 576 nt
Filed under: Triticum aestivum (bread wheat)
Lineage: Eukaryota; Viridiplantae; Streptophyta; Magnoliopsida; Poales; Poaceae
Description: partial small subunit ribosomal RNA
Source: RNAcentral
AUGUCAUCCACCCCGCGUCCGGCGAAUCAAAUCGCGGCCUUUCAUGAUGUGGUGCAGGACUGUGAGCUCCAUGAUCUUGGGUUCUCAGGAGCUCCGUUCACUUACGAUAAUAAGAGGAAAGGCAGGUCUAAUGUCAAAGUUAGGCUGGAUCGAGCUCUAGCUGAUGAUCGAUGGAGAGAUAUCUUCUCGGAUGCACAUGUGGUACACCUUGUGUCUCCAUGCUCGGAUCACCUCCCGCUUUUAAUUCAUCUACAGAAAGAAGAACACCCACAGAACCGUUGUCGAGUCAGCCGAUAUGAAGUUUUUUGGGAAUGGGUAGGGGAGUUGCCAGAAAUCAUCCAAAAGGCUUGGGAAGAUACACAGGCGACUGGUGACCUUGCUUCGGUGACGGCUGGCCUGAGUAAAGUAAUGGAUGACCUGCAAGGAUGGAGCCGACGUAAAUUUGGCAAUAUCAUGCGAGAGGUGGAACAAACACGUCGUAAGCUGGAGCAACUAGUGCACUCCAAUGGGGAUCAGAAGGAAAUUAGGAGGCUGUCGGAUAGCUUGGAUGAACUACUAUAUAAAGAGGAGCUUCUA